Molecule: unclassified non-coding RNA, 1914 nt
Filed under: Acanthaster planci (crown-of-thorns starfish)
Lineage: Eukaryota; Metazoa; Echinodermata; Asteroidea; Valvatida; Acanthasteridae
Description: mitochondrial inner membrane protease ATP23 homolog, transcript variant X1
Source: RNAcentral
CUGUCACAUAUUUUAUAAUGGCAGCGCCCAUGGAAGGACAAUCGAGCAAGUCUUCUCCGGCAAGUUUAGCUUGUGAAAACAGUGAUGCUUCACGCAAAACAACGUCUGCAGUCAUGGCAGAAUUUAUGCAUGAAAGCCAUGGAGCCUGUGAUAACAAAGAUACAUCAUCAAAUCCGUCAUCGCCAGUGAAUGCGAAAGAGAAACAAGGAGGGAUGUAUGCUUGGUAUCAACACAAGUCGUGUUUACGUAGAGCAAACUUUGCCAGUCAGCAUCAUCCAAAUGUGAAGUUUCUCCUGGAAGCAAUUGAUAAAUUAGGAAGUGAGUUUGUAAUAGGCAGGCAAGUAUGCUGUGAACGGUGUACAACAGAUGCCAACGUCAGUGGAGGCUUUGACCCAGUCAAGAAUGAGAUAAUUCUUUGCGAGAACAGGGCUCCAACACAGCGCCUGACGAGCAUGCUGCUUACCCACGAGCUGGUCCACGCUUACGACCAUCACAAGGCCAAAGUGGACUGGACGGAUCUGAAAGCCGUUGCUUGCAGCGAGAUCCGUGCAGCCAAUCUAAGUGGUGAUUGCUCCUUCCUGAGUGAGAAAUUCUACCGUUGGAACAUAGGUGCGAAGCACAACCAUGAGGCCUGUGUCAGGAGACUCGCGGUCAGCUCUAUCGUCGCGACACGGGACUUGUCAAAGGAGGAAGCUGAGAAAGCUGUUGAUGGUGUCUGGGCCGACUGUUUCCAUGACUAUGCACCCUUCGCCGACAUCCCACACCGGGCAGCUGAUAUGAGAUUCAGCCGCUUCUCCAAAUACUACAAUCCCAGGUGACAUGAUAUGAGAAAGCACCGAGCAGUACAGGCUGUUACUGGAAAGUUCUAGUCAUUUUUUUUUUGAAAAGGCCAUGGAACACAUGCACAGAAAUGGAAUGUAUGCACACAUAAAAGUUCAAAAUCCACUUACGAUUUGCUGCCAAGAUUCAAGAAGUCCGUCACUGCGUAUUCCCUUCCACAAGCCAUGUGGUAGCCUCGUUGCCUAGUCACAAUAAUCAGAAGUCAGGUGGAAGUAAGUCACUGCACAGAAGUUGAUUUCCAUCAUGCCUACAAGCCAGUUAGUCACCGCAACUAUUUCUGUAGCCAGAGGACUUCGUUUUCAACCCCCCCCCACCAAAAAGAAAGAAAAAAAGGUGAAGGGUUAUGUCAAUAUACCUCUACCUCCAACCAAAUUUACAAAGCUGAACUUUGCUCAGUGGAGCAGGAAGCACAAUAGAGAAUGGUGGCAACAGCUUUUGGUUGGGACUGUAGUUCUAUCAAUUAAAAAGAAAAUUGAAAACCUGCGGUAUAUUAGUUUUCUUUGGGAGUUGUUUCCUCUUGUUUCGUUUGUUGAUGUAGUCAACCAAAGUUUUUGGUUUGACAAUCGGUUAUCAUUAAAAAUUGCCAUGCUUAAAAGUUCAUGGCGAGAUGCACGUCUACCCUCAAAUCCUUUUGUGACUGCAGAUUUUUUUAUUGUAGUUUAUAACUGCAUGCUAAUCAACAUGAAAAAAAUUCUGUUGACUGGACGCUUCUUCAAAAAUGCCACCUUCACUUAAUGUGAAUGGUGACUGUUUUUCUGAUGUUUCCUAUCCAGAAGUUGUCUUUGUUUGUUGAAGGUUUAGGCCAGGACAGUUCCAUACAUAAGUGAGAAUUCUAUCACACUGUCACCAACCUCAUUUUCAUUGGUAGUUUUUAAACAUAGAGAGGUGUUUGAAAAAAAGAUGGGGGAAAUUUGCCCUUAAAUUUCAGUUAUAUUUUUUUGUGAAAGAUGUUUUAGUUUGUGAAUUUUUAUUAAUAAUGGGGUCAUUAAUGGCAUGACCAAAUUCCACUUUCCCGUGGAAUUACCCUUCAAUAAACUCUUGAAUUGCAUAUUUGUAACAGGAAAAACUCAAAAC